Intestinimonas butyriciproducens is the source of this 51-nucleotide small RNA. It matches the Rfam family "ssNA-helicase RNA". From Rfam's summary of the family: Firmicutes, Actinobacteria (1 example). NCBI's taxonomy places the organism in Bacteria, Bacillati, Bacillota, Clostridia, Eubacteriales. The record is from Rfam.
UCCCAUAAGGGGGCAGUAUUACCCCUUAUGGGAAACAUGUAGCAUGUAGCA